UUCUUUUGUGUUGAUUGAACCCUCAAACCGAGUUGUUUGCAAAUUUUUCCUUUUGCUUAUGUCUAAGUAGGGAACAUUAUUGAAUAAAUUUGGUUUUGGAAUCUAAAGUUGGGGAGAGUAAAGUAAAAAGAGUUAAUUAGAAACUUGGAGAAGUGAAUUUUUAUGAAAGGGUGAAAAUAUGAAAAGAAAUAAGAAAAAUAAAUCACCCUUGAAACCAUAGAGCAAAGAAUAAAGAAAAGAAAAG
RNAcentral lists this long non-coding RNA (244 nucleotides) under Lathyrus oleraceus (garden pea). RNAcentral describes it as "Pisum sativum (pea) long non-coding RNA (PSAT_LNC014084)". Lineage: Eukaryota; Viridiplantae; Streptophyta; Magnoliopsida; Fabales; Fabaceae. The record is from RNAcentral.